UCAGGGAAACCUUCCAUCUCAUGUCACCUGGCCGCCAUGUGACAGGCCGCGGGAAUUCGAUUAGAGUUUGAUCCUGGCUCCAUUAUAUGAACGCUGGCGGCAUGCCUUACACAUGCAAGUCGAACGGUAACAGGUUAAGCUGACGAGUGGCGAACGGGUGAGUAAUGUAUCGGAACGUGCCCAGUCGUGGGGGAUAACUGCUCGAAAGAGCAGCUAAUACCGCAUACGACCUGAGGGUGAAAGCGGGGGAUCGCAAGACCUCGCGCGAUUGGAGCGGCCGAUAUCAGAUUAGGUAGUUGGUGAGGUAAAGGCUCACCAAGCCGACGAUCUGUAGCUGGUCUGAGAGGACGACCAGCCACACUGGGACUGAGACACGGCCCAGACUCCUACGGGAGGCAGCAGUGGGGAAUUUUGGACAAUGGGCGCAAGCCUGAUCCAGCCAUGCCGCGUGCGGGAAGAAGGCCUUCGGGUUGUAAACCGCUUUUGUCAGGGAAGAAAAGGUUCUGGCUAAUACCUGGGACUCAUGACGGUACCUGAAGAAUAAGCACCGGCUAACUACGUGCCAGCAGCCGCGGUAAUACGUAGGGUGCAAGCGUUAAUCGGAAUUACUGGGCGUAAAGCGUGCGCAGGCGGGUUAUGCAAGACAGAGGUGAAAUCCCCGGGCUCAACCUGGGAACUGCCUUUGUGACUGCAUGGCUAGAGUACGGUAGAGGGGGAUGGAAUUCCGCGUGUAGCAGUGAAAUGCGUAGAUAUGCGGAGGACACCGAUGGCGAGGCAAUCCCCUGGACCUGUACUGACCGCUCAUGCACGAAGCGUGGGGAGCCAAACAUGAUUAGAAUACCCUUGUUAGUCCCCGCCUAAACGAGGUUACUGGUUUGUUGGGGAGGGCUUUCUUCCUAGUAACCGUACCUAACGCGUGGAAGUUGAACCGCCUGGGGCAUAUGCGCUAAGCUGAACUCCAAAGAAUUGAUCGUGACCCGACCAGCGGGGGAGGAUGUGGUUUAUUUCAUCCACCGAAGCUACUACCCUUGGACAGUACUGGAUUCCUGAAAAGAUUUGGAAUGGUUCCUAGGGAGGCGGAAACAGGGUGUAUGCUCUCCCACUUUGGUCGGAAGGUGGUUUAUCUACAGCGCUACCCUGG
Molecule: ribosomal RNA, 1141 nt
Filed under: uncultured bacterium
Lineage: Bacteria
Description: bacterial SSU rRNA
Rfam family: Bacterial small subunit ribosomal RNA
Source: RNAcentral